GUGGGCAUAGCUCAGUGGGAGAGCACAUGCUUAGCAUGCACAAGGUACCGGGUUCAAUCCCCAAUACCUACA
RNAcentral lists this transfer RNA (72 nucleotides) under Camelus bactrianus (Bactrian camel). It matches the Rfam family "tRNA". From Rfam's summary of the family: Transfer RNA (tRNA) molecules are approximately 80 nucleotides in length. Their secondary structure includes four short double-helical elements and three loops (D, anti-codon, and T loops). Further hydrogen bonds mediate the characteristic L-shaped molecular structure. tRNAs have two regions of fundamental functional importance: the anti-codon, which is responsible for specific mRNA codon recognition, and the 3' end, to which the tRNAs corresponding amino acid is attached (by aminoacyl-tRNA synthetases). tRNAs cope with the degeneracy of the genetic code in two manners: having more than one tRNA (with a specific anti-codon) for a particular amino acid; and 'wobble' base-pairing, i.e. permitting non-standard base-pairing at the 3rd anti-codon position. Lineage: Eukaryota; Metazoa; Chordata; Mammalia; Artiodactyla; Camelidae. RNAcentral also lists the same sequence under 1 other name. The record is from Rfam by way of RNAcentral.